AUGCAGUAUACCGGGCCAACCUACCGCUUCCCCCCCACCGUGCCGGAGAUGCUCUACCCCGCCGGGGUGUAUGUCGAGAGCACCCUUCGUGUGUGGGCGAUGUCAAGGUGGAGGGGCGCAAGGGGGUUCACCGACUUCUUCCUUGGGGCCGGCUACGGGCACCUCCCUCGGGGAUCUCCAAGGAUGUACCGAGUCGAGGAGGUCAUCCACAACGGGGUUGUGGUUGCUAUCCUUGCCCACUUCACCAACCCCUUCGACGCGUUCUACCUCCUCGGCCGCGUGUUCUGGUGUGGCUGCGAGUUCAUAGCUUUCACCACCCAUAACAUCUUCACGGACUACGACAACGUCUUCCCCACCGACGAGCGCAUGCACACUCUGCCGUACCCCAUCAACAACACCGUGGAGGAGCAGUGA
RNAcentral lists this ribosomal RNA (414 nucleotides) under Triticum aestivum (bread wheat). Its description in RNAcentral is "partial small subunit ribosomal RNA". Lineage: Eukaryota; Viridiplantae; Streptophyta; Magnoliopsida; Poales; Poaceae. The record is from RNAcentral.